This 1429-nucleotide ribosomal RNA is filed under the name metagenome. Its description in RNAcentral is "bacterial SSU rRNA". It matches the Rfam family "Bacterial small subunit ribosomal RNA". The record is from RNAcentral.
GCAGCUUGCUGCUUCGCUGACGAGUGGCGGACGGGUGAGUAAUGUCUGGGAAGCUGCCUGAUGGAGGGGGAUAACUACUGGAAACGGUAGCUAAUACCGCAUAAUGUCGCAAGACCAAAGAGGGGGACCUUCGGGCCUCUUGCCAUCGGAUGUGCCCAGAUGGGAUUAGCUUGUUGGUGGGGUAACGGCUCACCAAGGCGACGAUCCCUAGCUGGUCUGAGAGGAUGACCAGCCACACUGGAACUGAGACACGGUCCAGACUCCUACGGGAGGCAGCAGUGGGGAAUAUUGCACAAUGGGCGCAAGCCUGAUGCAGCCAUGCCGCGUGUAUGAAGAAGGCCUUCGGGUUGUAAAGUACUUUCAGCGGGGAGGAAGGGAGUAAAGUUAAUACCUUUGCUCAUUGACGUUACCCGCAGAAGAAGCACCGGCUAACUCCGUGCCAGCAGCCGCGGUAAUACGGAGGGUGCAAGCGUUAAUCGGAAUUACUGGGCGUAAAGCGCACGCAGGCGGUUUGUUAAGUCAGAUGUGAAAUCCCCGGGCUCAACCUGGGAACUGCAUCUGAUACUGGCAAGCUUGAGUCUCGUAGAGGGGGGUAGAAUUCCAGGUGUAGCGGUGAAAUGCGUAGAGAUCUGGAGGAAUACCGGUGGCGAAGGCGGCCCCCUGGACGAAGACUGACGCUCAGGUGCGAAAGCGUGGGGAGCAAACAGGAUUAGAUACCCUGGUAGUCCACGCCGUAAACGAUGUCGACUUGGAGGUUGUGCCCUUGAGGCGUGGCUUCCGGAGCUAACGCGUUAAGUCGACCGCCUGGGGAGUACGGCCGCAAGGUUAAAACUCAAAUGAAUUGACGGGGGCCCGCACAAGCGGUGGAGCAUGUGGUUUAAUUCGAUGCAACGCGAAGAACCUUACCUGGUCUUGACAUCCACGGAAGUUUUCAGAGAUGAGAAUGUGCCUUCGGGAACCGUGAGACAGGUGCUGCAUGGCUGUCGUCAGCUCGUGUUGUGAAAUGUUGGGUUAAGUCCCGCAACGAGCGCAACCCUUAUCCUUUGUUGCCAGCGGUCCGGCCGGGAACUCAAAGGAGACUGCCAGUGAUAAACUGGAGGAAGGUGGGGAUGACGUCAAGUCAUCAUGGCCCUUACGACCAGGGCUACACACGUGCUACAAUGGCGCAUACAAAGAGAAGCGACCUCGCGAGAGCAAGCGGACCUCAUAAAGUGCGUCGUAGUCCGGAUUGGAGUCUGCAACUCGACUCCAUGAAGUCGGAAUCGCUAGUAAUCGUGGAUCAGAAUGCCACGGUGAAUACGUUCCCGGGCCUUGUACACACCGCCCGUCACACCAUGGGAGUGGGUUGCAAAAGAAGUAGGUAGCUUAACCUUCGGGAGGGCGCUUACCACUUUGUGAUUCAUGACUGGGGUGAAGUCGAAACAAGGUA